Long non-coding RNA from Scylla paramamosain (green mud crab), 937 nucleotides. RefSeq lists it as uncharacterized. The transcript is spliced from 3 exons. The record is from RefSeq and is a predicted model, not a curated record. NCBI's taxonomy places the organism in Eukaryota, Metazoa, Arthropoda, Malacostraca, Decapoda, Portunidae.
UUCCUUACUAACCUAACCUAACCUAACCCAUUCCUUCCUUCUCGUCAAGCUGUUGGUGGGAGAAGCCCCAGGACUCUCAAGCGUGGGUUGAGUCACAACUGCGGGUGUGCUAGCUCACCUUGAAGUCCGGCGGGGCUCACGUGUUGCAGUGUUGCAGUGUUGCAGAUCUUCACCCAAACAAGGGGAGUAUUGUUUUUUGUGUUGUUUUGUAUAUAUAUAUAUUUUUGUGGGGGGGAGGGGGUCUGGGGAUAGCCAUCUGCGGUGUGCGUCUGUGCGUGCGUCUGUGUGUGCGUCUGUGUGUGUGUCUGUGUGUGCGUCUGUGCGUGUGCGUCUGUGUGCGUGCAUCUGUGUGUAUGUCUUUUUUUUGGUUGUGUGUGUGAAUAUUUUUUUUGGUAUAAAUAUAUAGGUGGUAGGCCAUAAUGUUAGGAUAUUUGACACAGAUUAAUAUAGAAGAUGGUUUAGGUUAGUUAAGGGUUAAGUGAGGCAUAGAGAGAGAGAGAGAGAGGGGGGAAGAGCGAUAUUAAUAGAAUUAGGUUAGAUUUUUUAGGGUUUUAAGUAAGUAGGUGGCAGGUCAGAAUGAUAUAAUAUUUGACACAGAUUAAUAUAGAAGAUGGUUUUAAGUUAGUAUAUAUGAAAGGGUUAAGUUAGGCAUAGAGAGAGAGAGAAAGGGUUAUUAAUAGGAUGACAGGAGUAUAUAUGAAAGGGUUAAGUGAGGCAUAGAGAGAGAGAAAGGGUUAUUAAUAGGAUGACAGGAGUAUAUAUGAAAGGGUUAAGUGAGGCAUAGAAAGGGUUAUUAAUAGGAUUAGGUUGACGGGGUGUAUGAAUGUUUAACUCAGAUUAUAUUGAAAGUUUACUUCUUUAUAAUCUGGGUUUGUAUGGCAUGUUGAAUAUUAGUAUGUUAUUUUUGUAGUGGUGGUAGUGGUGGUGGGAUGUAUGA